This is a long non-coding RNA of Dermacentor andersoni, 607 nucleotides long. RefSeq lists it as uncharacterized. The record is from RefSeq and is a predicted model, not a curated record. Lineage: Eukaryota; Metazoa; Arthropoda; Arachnida; Ixodida; Ixodidae.
UGUGGACUUUUGCAGAGGCCGGCGCUUCAUCUGAUACCUGACCAGGACUGUUCUGCGUGUCCCGCCAUCUGCCUGACUGUACUGUAACCACGGCCUUCUGUCGCUUCUUUCUUGGGGGCGGUGUUUUCAUGGAAAGCUGGCUUCACUCUGGCAGCGGCAGCGGCGACGUACGCACGUCAUUUAAUCAACCUGUGUGGAUUUUUGCAGAGGCCGGCGCUUCAUCUGAUACCUGACCAGGACUGUUCUGCGCGUCCCGCCAUCUGCCUGACUGUACUGUAACCACGGCCUUCUGUCGCUUCUGUCUUGGGGGCGGUGUUUUCAUGGAAAGCUGGUUUCACUCUGGUAGCGGCAGCGGCGACGUACGCAUGUCAUUUUAUCAACUGUGUGGAUUUUUGCAGGGCUACUGGAGGUGGCAAAGUGGGUGGCGUGGACGGCCGCGUCCUCGACGUCCUUAUGAGGACAGGAGGGGUCCUUGUUUCCCCCCCUGAGUACUUCCCCGAUAGCGAGGACGAGGCAAGUUCGGAGGAAGCUGCAGGGCCCAGCGGUUCCCGCGGACAUCCACCAGCGACAACUGCUUUCGUGGUGUCGGGCCCUGCAGCUGUGGCUG